GGACCCAUAGCUCAAUUGGUAGAGCAUUCGACUCUUAAUCGACAGGUUGACGGUUCAAGUCCGUCUGGGUCCACCA
RNAcentral lists this transfer RNA (76 nucleotides) under Alphaproteobacteria bacterium MarineAlpha5_Bin10. RNAcentral's name for it is "tRNA-Lys". It matches the Rfam family "tRNA". Rfam says of the family: Transfer RNA (tRNA) molecules are approximately 80 nucleotides in length. Lineage: Bacteria; Pseudomonadati; Pseudomonadota; Alphaproteobacteria. RNAcentral also lists the same sequence under 2 other names. The record is from RNAcentral.